GCACACAGCAGCUCAACACGGGUGACGGAUACUGUUAUUGGAUCUGGGUUGCCUGGUCCUAGAGAGAUGGUGCAGUGUGGGAGGCCUGGCAUGAUUGAGGAGAAAUGUUCUAGAACCCCCCACCACAGGCUUGCCCUAAUUUCAUCUAUCCAAGAUUCAGCCCUUCCUGGUGCUCAAGGGACCAGUGUCCUCAGACACACCAAGGCCCUUCCCAACAUGGCCUCCUUGUACCCUUGGCCACAAAGUCUCCAAAUUCAAGUGUUUCAACUUAAGAAACUGCAAAGGCAGACCAUGAUUGGUGUCUUGGUGUCUUUUGGGAAAGUCUACAGAAAAUAAACUACAGGAGCGCAGAGGACUCAAGAUUGUGCCACUAUUUAUUUCCGCAGUAAAUAAUUCCUUUCCUGUGUGUGGAUUUUUUUUUUUUUUUAGCAGUUGCCCUGGGUUGAGCUGAAUAAACUAAUACAGCUUUUAAAAC
Molecule: long non-coding RNA, 475 nt
Filed under: Rattus norvegicus (Norway rat)
Lineage: Eukaryota; Metazoa; Chordata; Mammalia; Rodentia; Muridae
Description: long non-coding RNA NONRATT007385
Source: RNAcentral